UCGAUUGAGGAAAGAUUUGGCUGCUUGCGACCUCGUUUGGAUUGUUUCUGAACACAAACGCUAAAACAGUGAUU
Molecule: regulatory RNA element, 74 nt
Organism: Nonlabens spongiae
Lineage: Bacteria; Pseudomonadati; Bacteroidota; Flavobacteriia; Flavobacteriales; Flavobacteriaceae
Source: Rfam